UGGUCCAGCGUGCCAGCAGCCGGAGCAACAUCCGGGUGUUCCCCUACGCGCUGGCCCGCUCCUCGGGCGGCUCUCGGCGGUUCCACCUCGGCCGUGUGUCUUCCUCUGUAGCCAUGGGCAGCCUCUUGGAGC
Molecule: ribosomal RNA, 132 nt
Filed under: Lingulaulax polyedra
Lineage: Eukaryota; Dinophyceae; Gonyaulacales; Lingulodiniaceae
Description: Lingulodinium polyedra partial Bacterial small subunit ribosomal RNA
Source: RNAcentral